ACGAACGCUGGCGGCAGGCCUAACACAUGCAAGUCGAACGCUCCGCAAGGAGAGUGGCAGACGGGUGAGUAACGCGUGGGAAUUUCCCCCAAGGUUCGGAAUAACUGAGGGAAACUUCAGCUAAUACCGAAUGGUCCCCGCAAGGGGUAAAGAUUUAUCGCCAUGGGAUGAGCCCGCGUUGGAUUAGCUAGUUGGUGAGGUAACGGCUCACCAAGGCUUUGAUCCAUAGCUGGUCUGAGAGGACGACCAGCCACACUGGGACUGAGACACGGCCCAGACUCCUACGGGAGGCAGCAGUGGGGAAUCUUGGACAAUGGGCGCAAGCCUGAUCCAGCCAUGCCGCGUGGGCGAUGAAGGUCUUCGGAUUGUAAAGCCCUUUUGGCGGGGACGAUAAUGACGGUACCCGCAGAAUAAGCUCCGGCUAACUUCGU
RNAcentral lists this ribosomal RNA (431 nucleotides) under uncultured bacterium. RNAcentral's name for it is "bacterial SSU rRNA". It matches the Rfam family "Bacterial small subunit ribosomal RNA", at positions 29 to 506 of the family's 1533-position model. The record is from RNAcentral.